AACCUCUGCAAUGCGGGAAACCGUGACAGGGGGAUCCCAAGUGCUCAUGCAUUGCAUGGGCUGUUCUUUGGUCUAAGUAACCAGAGGAGUAAGGGCUGGGCAAGACCGGUGCCAGCCGCCGCGGUAAUACCGGCAGCUCAAGUGGUAGCCGCGAUUAUUGGGCCUAAAGCGUUCGUAGCCGGAUAAGUAAGUCUUUGGUUAAAUCCUGCAACUCAACUGUGGGAAAUCUAGGGAUACUGCUUGUCUUGAGACCGGGAGAGGUUAGAGGUACUCCUAGGGUAGGGGUGAAAUCCUGUAAUCCUAGGGGGACCACCUGUGGCGAAGGCGUCUAACUGGAACGGGUCUGACGGUGAGGGACGAAACCUAGGGGAACGAGCCGG
This 380-nucleotide ribosomal RNA is filed under the name uncultured archaeon. RNAcentral describes it as "bacterial SSU rRNA". It matches the Rfam family "Archaeal small subunit ribosomal RNA", at positions 345 to 727 of the family's 1478-position model. The record is from RNAcentral.